RNAcentral lists this ribosomal RNA (117 nucleotides) under Sinocyclocheilus rhinocerous. Lineage: Eukaryota; Metazoa; Chordata; Actinopteri; Cypriniformes; Cyprinidae. The record is from RNAcentral.
GCUGGCAGCCAUAUCACCCUGUAGCCCAAGACUGGUCACCCACUGAAGCCAAGCAGGGUUGAGCCUGGUCAGUACCUGGAUGGGAGACCUCCUGGGAAAACUAGGUUGCUGCUGGAA